GGAAGCACUCGCAGUACAGCCGAGCGCGCGUCGGGCUCCGGGGGAGAGAGAGAAAUCCGGCUAAAAUCUGAGUCGGAGGGAGGUUUAACCACAGAACGGUUCCGAUAGGAUUAUUCCUUAAAGGGGACGCGCCAUUGUCAAGAGAACGGAGCCUGGGGCCCGAGGGCGGGGACCAGCGGCGCCAGAGGAGGAGGCAGCUGCACUUGGACUGGGGACGGGACUUUACCAUUCCAUAUUCUGCUUUGUACAUGGUGAAUCACUACUGCUUUGCACGAGUGUGCCCACUUGUGUGCCUAUAAAGUACAAGCUCCAGAUUGAAAAGUCUUCUAGAUGGAUCCUUUCCAAAUUUGGUGUCUUGUCGACAAACUCUGUGCCUCAUCAACACUUUCUAAGUGAGACGAAGCCAUUUAUUUGAAUCUUGGAUGAUUAAUACCUAAAUGCUUAAUUCACAAAACUGCUCAAGAGUCCCACAGUCAGGAGUAGAUGAUCCAAGUUACCUCCAAGAAAUUACUGUCUUGAGUUCUACGGUAAGAUUAUAACAAAAUUAUUUUAAAGGUUAAAUAGUGACUGUGAGGUCUUAUA
Molecule: long non-coding RNA, 582 nt
Filed under: Rhinolophus ferrumequinum (greater horseshoe bat)
Lineage: Eukaryota; Metazoa; Chordata; Mammalia; Chiroptera; Rhinolophidae
Description: lncRNA (ENSRFEG00010000439.1)
Source: RNAcentral